RNAcentral lists this ribosomal RNA (273 nucleotides) under uncultured bacterium. Its description in RNAcentral is "partial 16S ribosomal RNA". It matches the Rfam family "Bacterial small subunit ribosomal RNA", at positions 524 to 796 of the family's 1533-position model. The record is from RNAcentral.
UACGGAGGGAGCUAGCGUUGUUCGGAAUUACUGGGCGUAAAGCGUACGUAGGCGGUUACUCAAGUCAGAGGUGAAAGCCCGGGGCUCAACCCCGGAACUGCCUUUGAAACUAGGUAGCUAGAAUCUUGGAGAGGUCAGUGGAAUUCCGAGUGUAGAGGUGAAAUUCGUAGAUAUUCGGAAGAACACCAGUGGCGAAGGCGACUGACUGGACAAGCAUUGACGCUGAGGUACGAAAGCGUGGGGAGCAAACAGGAUUAGAAACCCGCGUAGUCC